This is an RNA transcript of Populus nigra (black poplar), 2581 nucleotides long. RefSeq lists it as uncharacterized. The transcript is spliced from 4 exons. The record is from RefSeq and is a predicted model, not a curated record. NCBI's taxonomy places the organism in Eukaryota, Viridiplantae, Streptophyta, Magnoliopsida, Malpighiales, Salicaceae.
AUUUUCGUCCAGACAAUAUAUCCACUCCCCAAUUUUCUCUCCUCCCUCUCUCCCCCUUGCCCUUUAAAAAAAAAGACCAAUAAAAUUUUGAGAGAGAGAGAGAAUAAUUUUAGAGAGAUAAACAGAAAGAAAUGGACGGUAGCAGCAGCGGAGGCGGAAACGGUUACAGAGUAGAAGCAGAGCGGUGGUUAACUAUAUCAGAGAAACUCUUAGCAGCACGUGACUUGCACGGGGCUAAGAGCUUCGCGAUCCGAGCCCGAGAAUCCGACCCGAGACUCUACGAAUUCUCCGAUCAAAUCAUCGCCGUUGCCGACACUCUCCUCGCCGGAGAGUUACGCGUCGAGAACAAUCACCACUAUGAUUACUAUAUGAUUCUCCAACUCGGUCGCUUGACCCAGGAUCUCGAACUCAUUGCGGAUCAGUAUCGGAAGCUCGCCUUGUUGCUCAACCCGACGAGGAACCGGCUGCUCUUCGCUGAUCAGGCGUUCAAGCUUGUGUCGGAGGCCUGGCUCGUGCUUUCGAAUCCUGCUAAGAAGGCAAUGUAUGAUCAUGAGUUGCAACUGAGUCAGCUCGGUCUUCUCGUGACUCAGCAACCGCCACCUCCACCAUUUCAACAGCAACCGCCGUCUAAUCCUGAGCCGAUUCGGCCUGUUCCGCAGUUCAGUAUGCCAUGGAUGCCUGAGUCGUCAAUUCGGUUCCCCUCUCAGACCAAACCCGCCGAGUCACCUCGUUCACAGACUCAGCAGAGAAAUCCCGAGCCAACUUGGCGACAGCCUCAGCAGAAACCAAUCGAACCGCCUAAGCAGCCUACCCCGCUGAAGGCCGCCACUGAGCUAAAUAAGCAGCCAACCCCGUCUAAGGCUCCCAUUGAGCCAACUCGGCAGCCUACCCCGCUGAAGGCCGCCACUGAGCUAAAUAAGCUGUCAACCCCGUCUAAGGCUCCCAGUGAGCCUACGCCGCUGAAGUCUUCCACUGAGCCAAAUAAGCAGUCAACUCUGUCUAAGAUUCCCACUGAGCCAACUCGGCCAGAGGUUGUGAUUGGGUUAUCUCGAUCAGCGCCAAAACCGAGUGCCACUGAUUCGAGGCAAGCGAUGAAGCACACAACCACCUUCACCGCUGCUGCUGCAACUGGGACAAAGCAUGCGAAUGCGAGUGAGCCAGAGUUAUCGAGUUUUUGGACUGCGUGUCCUUAUUGUUAUAUACUUUACGAGUAUCCUAAAGCUUAUGAGGAGUGUAUUCUAAGGUGUCAAAGUUGUAGAAGGGCAUUUCAUGCUGUCAUGGUACCAGCACCACCGGUGACUGAUAAAGAUACAUACUUUUGCUGCUGGGGUUUUGUUCCGUUGGGGUUUUCAGGUAAUAAUGAGAAAGGAGGUAAUGAGUUUGGUAGUAAUUGGUCUCCGUUUUCUGCAAUGUUUUCCGCUCCUUUCCCAGCUGGUGGUGCUGUUGGUAGUGGUGGUCAAAUGUAUAAUAAACUGAAGCAAAAGGUGAUUUAUAAAGAUGAUGUGUAUAUAGAUAUCUCUGACACAAGUGAAGAUGAGUCUGAUUCUGGUGAUGAGUGGGGUGUAAAAAAGAGAAAGAAAGCAAAAAAUGCAAAGGGGAAAGGAACUCCGAAUAAACAUGCGAAAAAAUCACAAAAUGAAAGAUUGAAGAAGGGGGUAGGAGCAGGGGCUGGAACAGAAAAUAUUCAAAAUGAGGACGGUGAUGGUGGGGGUAGUGUGCCAGAGGAGGUGGUGGAAAAGGGGGAAGGGAGUUGUGGCAAAAGGAAGGCAGCAAAAGAUUUGGGAAAGUUGGAUUUGAAUGUGAUGUUUAGUAAUGAGGUGGAUGAGGCUGCACCUGGACCAAGUCAAAGGAAUGGGCCUGGGCAUGGGGAGGAGGAUAAUAUUGAAGGGAUUGGGUUUUUUGAGGGUCUUGAUGAGUUUUUAAGUACCUUGCCCAUACUUUCGGUUGUAGGGGAUGAUAAGGUGAAGGCUACUUAGCGAUAUUUCCAUGGUUACCCUUCCCGAUAGUUGCGUGAUGAACUAAAGGAAGGCCUGUAGAGAUAGACUGCACUGCAGCAGCUGAGCGUUCCAGUUGCUAAUUGCAGAGCCCUCACCCGUGUUCAUAUCAGCCCUGUUGACCAGCUCCUCAGCAGUGUAUGAUGAUGCUCAAGGAAUAUUUUGUGAGAUGAUGGAAAUGAGUUUAUAAGUGAUGUAGCCCCCUGCAGCCCUUUUUCGUGAGAAGUGGCCGUGGACUCAUUUGGGCUAUCCAGGUAUCAUCUGCUGCUCUCACUCCCAGACAUGAGGUUUCCCUGUGAAGACAGUGCACGUGCAAUUCAUAAACGCACGACCGAAUAAGCUUUAUUGUCCAUUGAUGACAGUUAACUUCUCCAAAAUAUAGUUUCUGUGCCAUUAAUCCACCUUUUAGUUUCCCUAAGAUGCAUCUUCUUCCUCUGCUGAGUAUCAAUUAGUCUUAUCCUUCCCUUGUUGUGAUUGCUCAAACAUCCUUACCCUCAUUUUGUUUAGUGCUACUCAUCAAGCAGCUGGGUUUACGUUUUGCCACUGACAGAACUUAAUAUACACAUUGCUCUCUGUGUAUGCUGCUA